This 75-nucleotide transfer RNA is filed under the name Caldibacillus thermoamylovorans. RNAcentral's name for it is "Bacillus thermoamylovorans tRNA-Gly". It matches the Rfam family "tRNA". From Rfam's summary of the family: Transfer RNA (tRNA) molecules are approximately 80 nucleotides in length. Their secondary structure includes four short double-helical elements and three loops (D, anti-codon, and T loops). Lineage: Bacteria; Bacillati; Bacillota; Bacilli; Caryophanales; Bacillaceae. RNAcentral also lists the same sequence under 2 other names. The record is from RNAcentral.
GCGGAAGUAGUUCAGUGGUAGAACACCACCUUGCCAAGGUGGGGGUCGCGGGUUCGAAUCCCGUCUUCCGCUUCA